UCUCGAUUGGUGAUAAAUGGCCCAACC
This 27-nucleotide small RNA is filed under the name Bombyx mori (domestic silkworm). RNAcentral describes it as "ovarian small RNA-29734". The record is from RNAcentral. Lineage: Eukaryota; Metazoa; Arthropoda; Insecta; Lepidoptera; Bombycidae.